AACGCGAAGAACCUUACCUACCCUUGACAUCCUUGGAACCAUAUAGAGAUAUGUGGGUGCCCGCGAGGGAACCAAGAGACAGGUGCUGCAUGGCUGUCGUCAGCUCGUGUCGUGAGAUGUUGGGUUAAGUCCCGUAACGAGCGCAACCCCUAUCUUUAGUUGCUAACGGGUAAAGCUGAGAACUCUAAAGAGACUGCCGGUGAUAAGCCGGAGGAAGGUGGGGAUGACGUCAAGUCCUCAUGGCCCUUACGGGUAGGGCCACACACGUGCUACAAUGGGCGGUACAGAGGGAAGCGAAGCCGCGAGGUGAAGCGAAUCCCAGAAAGCCGCUCGUAGUCCGGAUUGGAGUCUGAAACUCGACUCCAUGAAGUUGGAAUCGCUAGUAAUCGCGGAUCAGAACGCCGCGGUGAAUACGUUCCCGGGCCUUGUACACACCGGUACUA
Molecule: ribosomal RNA, 443 nt
Filed under: uncultured bacterium
Lineage: Bacteria
Description: bacterial SSU rRNA
Rfam family: Bacterial small subunit ribosomal RNA
Source: RNAcentral